RNAcentral lists this ribosomal RNA (430 nucleotides) under uncultured bacterium. Its description in RNAcentral is "bacterial SSU rRNA". It matches the Rfam family "Bacterial small subunit ribosomal RNA", at positions 29 to 496 of the family's 1533-position model. The record is from RNAcentral.
AACGAACGCUGGCGGCAUGCCUAACACAUGCAAGUCGAACGAGACCCAACUUCGGUUGGACGUCUAGUGGCGCACGGGUGCGUAACGCGUGGGAAUCUGCCCUUAGGUUCGGAAUAACUCGGAGAAAUCCGAGCUAAUACCGGAUAAUGACGUAAGUCCAAAGAUUUAUCGCCUAAGGAUGAGCCCGCGUAGGAUUAGCUUGUUGGUGAGGUAAAAGCUCACCAAGGCGACGAUCCUAGCUGGUCUGAGAGGAUGAUCAGCCACACUGGGACUGAGACACGGCCCAGACUCCUACGGGAGGCAGCAGUGGGGAAUAUUGGACAAUGGCGAAAGCCUGAUCCAGCAAUGCCGCGUGAGUGAUGAAGGCCUUAGGGUUCUAAAGCUCUUUUACCCGGGAUGAUAAUGACAGUACCGGGAGAAUAAGCUCCGG